This is a long non-coding RNA of Helicoverpa armigera (cotton bollworm), 3005 nucleotides long. RefSeq lists it as uncharacterized. The record is from RefSeq and is a predicted model, not a curated record. The transcript has 2 exons. Lineage: Eukaryota; Metazoa; Arthropoda; Insecta; Lepidoptera; Noctuidae.
UUGGAGGUAUUGGAAUUACUUUGCCGUUGGAAAUCCGUUUUAAUUCCGUGAAAUGAAGCGUGAGAGCGGGAAACGGAUUAUAUGGCUCAGAAAGUCUGUCAUGUUCAUAAAUCCUCUUAAUUGACUCAGAAUUUUAAUAACAAGUUCAUUUUCGGAAUAUAUCUUUAAUAUUUAUAAGAAGAAUUUUGGAAUUCAGUUAUAUGUUUUUAAUUUGUGUAAAAGUCAUUUUUUAUUUUAAAGUUAGCUGAAAACUUUUGGCAAGUUAGCUAAUUGAUACUUGAACUUUUAGUCAGCCGGUAAUUUAUUUGGGCUCACAAAUCACUAUGAGAAUGAAUUAGUACUCACACGAAUUAUCAGGUAUUUGGUCGGCUUCAGACCGACUAAAAAAAUCAUGAUGAUUGAAUUCAUGAUUUUCUUUAAAAAAACAUCCUUCCGUCGGCUCUGCAGUGUGAGGUACUCUUAGUUUAACUAAAGAGCAAGCGAAAAACAACUAGGUAUGACGAUUUUUUUCAUUCCGCCACUGAAGAAAAUAGGUCUGCAUUUUCAUUAUAUGACAUAGUUUUGUUUCAUUGUUUCACAUAUGAACCUUAUCUAUGAGGAUAAUAAUCCUUAGUGCCUACAAGUCACACAUAUUGUCAUAAGACUUUACAAAUAGAUAUUUUGUUUUGACUCAUUUAUUUAUUAGUCACAUGAAUAAGCAGAUAUAGGCCUCAAUAAGUAUAUAACAGCUCUUGCGAGCUUGUGGUUUUACAUACCGUUUAGUGCCGUGGACGAGUGAGAACGUGUCAACAUGAAUUUCUCUAACAUUUAUAAUAUUGUGUUGGUGGUUAGUGCGUUCUUGGUCACAUUUUGUUCGGCGCACCCAGUCAACAAUCAAUUAGAAGUCACCGGUCAUACAAGAGUCAAGCGACAAAUGGCUAUACACCCUGGAUCUAACAUUUGCGCGAGUGAUUCGUACUACUGCUACGGAAUGUGUCUUACUUUCGAAGGGGUAAAAAAGUUCUUAGAUGGCGAAUGCGAACGAAGAUACCAAAUAGUAGAAUCAUGUUCAUGUAUGUAUGUCGGUGCUUUGGCUUAGACAGGUGAUUUAAUUACAUUAAGUUUUGACAGUGUAAUAUAUGUAUCUUCCUAACAUACUAAUAAUCAAUUGAAAGUAUUUUCAGAGAUAUAAUAUAUUUUAUGACAUUAUCUCUUGCAUUGGAAAAUAUAUAUAUGCAAGCAUCAUAUCGAUAUGAAAAGAAUAUAUUGUUAAUUUUGUAUAUAAUUUAAUCAUCUACAAUUUUGGUGUGUCUGACAUUUUUGUCAAAAUUACAAAAUAUCCAAAACCUUGGCUUGGCUUGGCUUCGAAUAUCUUCGGAAGCUCGCUCUGGAUUGAUGAGGUCUUUUGAUAUUUUAUGUAUAAUGCUGAGCCCAAGGUCCCCACCAAUAUUCAACUCAGUGCAAAUUUUAGUUAUUUUAAUUGUCUACAUUCAUUUUGCUAGUAAUUAUGUAACCUAAUUUAUAAAAAAAGUGGACUGCACUACUAACUAAGUAUAAUAUACUUAGUUAAUAAAAAUAUGUUAGUUCCGUUCCAUUUAAUGUAUGUUUUUUAUAUAUUAAUAUGAGAUAAUGUAAUUAUUAUCCGAAAUAAAAUAUGUAUCUUUUGUCAUUUGUUUUAUUAGCUUUAGCGUAAACUUGUCUUCCAGAACUAAUUAUAAUGUUUAUAAGGAUCAUUGUUGGUCAAAUAGAAAGCAGAAGUCAGAAAGUCUGACAACCAGUCUUACCGAGGUAAGUAUUAGAUGGUUCAGAUGACUGGGUUAAAGAGGCAUGUAAAACAGUUCAUGUAAAACACAGGCACUAAGUUGCAUUCAGUGAGAAUGGAAUUCAACCCCGACAUAGUUGGGAAAAAACUAGGUAGCUGAUGAUCUUUGCGAGUGCAUAAAAGCAAAUGUCUGGUACUGGGAACAGGGGUAUACAUACUAUUAUUUGCAGAUCCUCGUCAAUUUAUAAACUUUAUUUGCAACAUUCUAAGUAACAUCGAUAUUUCACCGUUUUAAUGUCAAUUGUAAUUGAAUCUUUUCAAUAGUUCCCUGUGUUCAAAGUAUGUUUGGCGUCUUUCUAUAAAUAAAGUAGUUAAUUGAUUAUGUAAUUUUUAAGUGUUAAAUUGCUCAUGAAUUAACAAUGACCAAUUGGCAUCUUUAAACUUAUUGGUGAAAUAUAGGUGUAUUUAGAAGAAAAUGAUAUCGUCUUCACUGGUUUGUUAAAUUCCGGGUUUGACCUUGAAACUUUAUAAUUUAUUUGUGUAAUUUCAUUUUGAUCAAGUCAAGAAUAAAGUCCUUGGUUCAAGUUAAAACAACACCUACCUCUAUAUAAAAUAUUAUGUAACAUUACCUACCUAUGUUUUUAAAGGUCAUUCAUAUUAGAUUCAUCAUUAGAUAUAUAUACAUAAAAAAGUCUUAGUGGCUCAGUGGGGAAAGGAUCAACCACUGAAGUACGAGUGCGUGGGUUCGAUUCCAGGCAAGUACCGAUGCAACUUUUCUAAGAUUGUAUGUACUUACUAAGUAAUAUCUUAAACAUCAAUGUUUGUGUUUCGGUGGGCUUGUUAAACUGUAGAUCCCGGCUGUCAAUGAACAUCCUUGGCAGUCUUAAUGGGUAGACUUUAGGGGAAGCCAGUAAUUUUUACACCAGCCUAAACAAGGGGUAUUGGGUUACCUUGGUAACUGGGUUGAGGUGGACAGAUAGGCACGCCCCUUGUCAAGCACUGGUACUCCGCCGCAUCCGGUUAGACUGGAAGGCGACCCCAACAUAGUUGUGAAAAAGCUCGGGAGAUUAUGAUCAUUAGGUAUACGUAUAAGUACGAAGCAGCAAUAUAUUUUAAUGAUCAUAGAUAUUUAUUUCCGAAGGCAAUUAUAAAUUUAUAUUGAAUUUCUAUAAAUAGCACAUAGCGAUUUUAUAAUUACUUCUUAGAAACAAGCUCGCAGAAACUGCAUUUUGCAUAAUGUCAAUAAAACUUGAUUUUCAACAAU